GAUGCCUGCCCGGUGACCUGAGGUUCAACGGCCGCGGUAUCCUAACCGUGCAAAGGUAGCGCAAUCAAUUGUCCCAUAAAUCGAGACUAGUAUGAAUGGCUAAACGAGGUCUUAACUGUCUCUUGCAGGCAAUCGGUGAAAUUGAUCUCCCUGUGCAAAAGCAGGGAUAAACCCAUAAGACGAGAAGACCCUGUGGAACUUUAAAAACAGCAGCCACCCCAAUAUACAUACACACCCACUGGGCUCACUUAACCUAUAAGCCACUGGCCUGCAUUUUUUCGGUUGGGGCGACCUUGGAGAAAAACAAAUCCUCCAAAAACUGGACCAUAAAUCUAGACCUAGAGCAACCCCUCGAAGUGCGAACAGCAACCAGACCCAAUAUAAUUGAUCAAUGGACCAAGCUACCCCAGGGAUAACAGCGCAAUCUCCUCCAAGAGUCCAUAUCGACGGGGAGGUUUACGACCUCGAUGUUGGAUCAGGACAUCCUAGUGGUGCAGCCGCUACUAAG
Molecule: ribosomal RNA, 508 nt
Filed under: Stizorhina finschi
Lineage: Eukaryota; Metazoa; Chordata; Aves; Passeriformes; Turdidae
Also listed under: 1 other name
Description: partial 16S ribosomal RNA
Rfam family: Bacterial large subunit ribosomal RNA
Source: RNAcentral